This 2104-nucleotide ribosomal RNA is filed under the name human gut metagenome. RNAcentral's name for it is "bacterial LSU rRNA". It matches the Rfam family "Bacterial large subunit ribosomal RNA", at positions 444 to 2569 of the family's 2925-position model. The record is from RNAcentral.
CAGCCGGGACCACCCGGUAAGGCUAAAUACUCCCAAGAGACCGAUAGUGGACCAGUACUGUGAAGGAAAGGUGAAAAGAACCCCGAACAGGGGAGUGAAAUAGAACCUGAAACCAUACGCUUACAACCGGUCGGAGCAGCUUCGUGCUGUGACGGCGUGCCUAUUGAAUAAUGAGCCUACGAGUUACUAAUCACUAGCGAGGUUAAGUGCAAGGAUGCACGGAGCCGAAGCGAAAGCGAGUCUGAACAGGGCGUUUAGUUAGUGGUUGUAGACGCGAAACCUUGCGAUCUACCCUUGAGCAGGUUGAAGGUUGGGUAAAACCAACUGGAGGACCGAACGAAUAAGCGUUGAAAAGCUUCUCGAUGACUUGAGGGUAGGGGUGAAAGGCUAAUCAAGCUGGGAAAUAGCUCGUACUCCCCGAAAUGCCUUUUGGGGCAGCGUUGUAAUAAAGAGUCUACUGGAGGUAGAGCUACUGAUUGGAUGCGGGGGCUUCACCGCCUACCAAAUCCUGACAAACUCCGAAUGCCAGUAGUAUGAUUUACAGCAGUGAGUGACUGGGUGCUAAUGUCCAGUCGCAAAAGAGGAACAACUCAGACCAGCAACUAAGGUCCCGAAGAAUAUGCUAAGUUGAUCUAACGAUGUUUUGUUGCAGAGACAGCUAGGAUGUUAGCUUGGAAGCAGCUAUUCAUUCAAAGAGUGCGUAACAGCUCACUAGUCGAGCGACAGAGCGUGGAUAAUAAACGGGCAUCAAGCAUAUCACCGAAGUUCUGGGCGCGAGAGCGCGGUAGGGGAGCAUUCCAUUCAGCGUCGAAGCAGUUUCGUGAGGAAUUGUGGAGCGUAUGGAAAAGCAAAUGUAGGCAUGAGUAACGAUAAUGCGGGAGAGUAACCCGCACACCGCAAGACCAAGGUUUCCUGAUCAACGCUAAUCGGAUCAGGGUUAGUCGGGUCCUAAGGGUAAGCCGAACGGUGAUCUCGAUGGACAAUCGGUUAAUAUUCCGAUACUAACAUAUACCUCGAUGGAGAGACGAAGGAACGUAAGUGCCGCCACCUGACGGAAUAGGUGGUUAAAGGGCGUAGGUAUAGGGGCAGAUUAAGAGUUAGUCCUUGCUGAAACCUGACAGUACAGAGAGCCUACGGGCAAUUUGAUAGAGCACCCAAGUCGACUUCCGAGAAAAUCUUCUAAGUUAUAGUAUAUGUUACCCGUACCGUAAACCGACACAGGUGGUCGAGGAGAGUAUCCUAAGGUGCUCGAGUGAAUCACGGUUAAGGAACUAGGCAAAUUAACCCCGUAACUUCGGGAAAAGGGGUCCCUAUGAAAGUAGGGCGCAGCGAAGAGGUCCAGGCGACUGUUUAUCAAAAACACAGGGCUCUGCAAAUUCGAAAGAAGACGUAUAGGGCCUGACACCUGCCCGGUGCUGGAAGGUUAAGAGGGGAUGUCAUCGCAAGAGAAGCAUUGAAUCGAAGCCCCAGUAAACGGCGGCCGUAACUAUAACGGUCCUAAGGUAGCGAAAUUCCUUGUCGGGUAAGUUCCGACCUGCACGAAUGGUGUAACGAUCUGGACACUGUCUCAACCGUGAGCUCGGUGAAAUUGUAGUCCCGGUGAUGAUGCCGGGUACCCGCAACGGGACGAAAAGACCCCGUGAACCUUUACUAUAGCUUAACGCUGAAUUUGGGUACACAAUGUGUAGGAUAGGCCGGAGGCUUUGAAGCGGGCACGCCAGUGUUCGUGGAGCCGACGUUGAAAUACGGCCCUUUGUGUAUUUGAGUUCUAACCCUGCGAAGGGGACACCGUUUGGUGGGUAGUUUGACUGGGGUGGUCGCCUCCAAAAGCGUAACGGAGGCUUCCCAAGGUACCCUCAGCACGAAUGGUAACCGUGCGCAGAGUGCAAUAGCAUAAGGGUGCUUGACUGUGAGACAUACAAGUCGACCAGGUACGAAAGUAGGGUAUAGUGAUCCGGUGGUUCUGCGUGGACUGGCCAUCGCUCAAAGGAUAAAAGGUACUCCGGGGAUAACAGGCUGAUCGCCGCCAAGAGCUCAUAUCGACGCGGCGGUUUGGCACCUCGAUGUCGGCUCGUCACAUCCUGGGGCUGGAGAAGGUCCCAAG